GCCUCACUCGUCCCACUGCCUCCCGCUACCACUGACGAAGCGGCACCCUCACUCGUCUCGCCGGCUCCCGCCGCCACUGACGAAUCGGCGGCGUCACUGGUCCCGCCGCCGACCGCUGCCGGCGACAAAGCGGUUACCUCACUCGUCCAUCCGCCGCCCGCCGCCGCGGUCGAAGCGGCGGCGUCGCUCGUUCCCAACGGGAACGAGCUAACCCUAGCUCCGGGG
Molecule: unclassified non-coding RNA, 225 nt
Filed under: Hevea brasiliensis (rubber tree)
Lineage: Eukaryota; Viridiplantae; Streptophyta; Magnoliopsida; Malpighiales; Euphorbiaceae
Source: RNAcentral